GAGAGCCCGGGCGCGCCAAUCAUCCCACCUAUUUUUCUGACAUAAUUUUACCAAUAGAAGCAUAUUACCGUACCGAACUAUGCUCGGGUUCCACUGUUCCACUGCCACUACCCAGCAGGAAAAGCUUUUUAGUCUUUUUAAAAUAAAAAACACCUCUUUUUUUAUUUAGAAAAUAAGGUGGAUGGUAGAUAGAUUACACAGGAUAAUAUUCCAAAGAGGCUGACAAAAACCAAAAUUAACUUAACAAAAAAAAAAGAAAAGAAAAGGAGAGAAA
RNAcentral lists this long non-coding RNA (274 nucleotides) under Phoenix dactylifera (date palm). RNAcentral's name for it is "long non-coding RNA (PDAC_LNC020188)". Lineage: Eukaryota; Viridiplantae; Streptophyta; Magnoliopsida; Arecales; Arecaceae. The record is from RNAcentral.